UACGUAGGUGGCAAGCGUUGUCCGGAUUUACUGGGCGUAAAGAGCGCGCAGGCGGUCGAUUUAGUCGCGUGUGAAAGCCCCCGGCUCAACUGGGGAGGGUCACGCGAUACUGAUCGACUCGAAGGCAGGAGAGGGUAGUGGAAUUCCCGGUGUAGUGGUGAAAUGCGUAGAUAUCGGGAGGAACACCAGUGGCGAAGGCGACUACCUGGCCUGUUCUUGACGCUGAGGCGCGAAAGCUAGGGGAGCAAACAGG
RNAcentral lists this ribosomal RNA (253 nucleotides) under uncultured bacterium. Its description in RNAcentral is "partial 16S ribosomal RNA". It matches the Rfam family "Bacterial small subunit ribosomal RNA", at positions 524 to 776 of the family's 1533-position model. The record is from RNAcentral.